Nannospalax galili (Upper Galilee mountains blind mole rat) is the source of this 129-nucleotide small nucleolar RNA. RefSeq annotates it as small nucleolar RNA SNORA40. Lineage: Eukaryota; Metazoa; Chordata; Mammalia; Rodentia; Spalacidae. The transcript has a single exon. The record is from RefSeq and is a predicted model, not a curated record.
AGUACCUUGCAUGUAAUUGUUCAACUGCUGGACAAAGGAAUGAAAGACAGGUGCAAAAAUAAAUCUUCUUUUGCAAUACAAAAUGCAUUGUUCAGUAUGAGUUUUGAUUCAUACAAGGACUAUAACACU